RNAcentral lists this long non-coding RNA (685 nucleotides) under Oncorhynchus kisutch (coho salmon). Its description in RNAcentral is "lncRNA (ENSOKIG00005020569.1)". Lineage: Eukaryota; Metazoa; Chordata; Actinopteri; Salmoniformes; Salmonidae. The record is from RNAcentral.
UGUGAGUUGAUUUCAUGCUGGUUGGUGGAAAAGUGGUAUUUUUAUGGAUGUAGGUACACUUGGUCACACAGUAUGUAAACAUUUUUACUGAGACAACACUGGACUGUGUGUGUGUGUGUGUGUGUGUGUCUAUUCAGGGUAUCAAUGUGAAGAGGUCUCAGAGAUCCAACGACAAGGUCAGAAACAGACACAAGACCGGGACCAAGCGUGAAGAAGAGUAUAGAUGCUGAGUGUGUGAUAAAAAGCGGGGAGCAUAAGACACCAGUGGACAUCAUCUUUCCAGACCAGGUUCUUCUGAGAUUGCAGAUACAACAAGAAACCAGAAACAUUAUUUGCCAAUAUCAUAACUGGAGCAGGACAUCUUUGGAGCUAAAGAUUGAGGCCAGCUUUUGUAUGCUAACGUACAGUCCUUAACAGUUUACCUGGAUGAAAACACAGCAAGAAAACACAUAGGCCAAUAUGUAAUAGUCGUCUAUUGUAUUGCAGUAUUGGUGGUUGGUUUAACAACAACUUGUUUUACUAGAGGAAAAAAAUGGAAUAUGCAUAAACCAUAUUUAAUAUCCAUGCAGUGACUGAACAACAACUGCAUUUCCACCCCCAUCUCUAAAGGCAUAGUAUCAUGGCUGGUCACCUGUCAAGUCACCUUGUCAGGUCAGCCAGUCACUUAUUGCUGCAGAUGUGCUCC